RNAcentral lists this ribosomal RNA (301 nucleotides) under uncultured bacterium. RNAcentral's name for it is "partial 16S ribosomal RNA". It matches the Rfam family "Bacterial small subunit ribosomal RNA", at positions 509 to 809 of the family's 1533-position model. The record is from RNAcentral.
CAGCCGCCGCGGUAAUACGAAGGGUGCAAGCGUUACUCGGAAUUACUGGGCGUAAAGCGUGCGUAGGUGGUGGUUUAAGUCCGUUGUGAAAGCCCUGGGCUCAACCUGGGAAUUGCAGUGGUUACUGGGUCACUAGAGUGUGGUAGAGGAUAGUGGAAUUUCCGGUGUAGCAGUGAAAUGCGUAGAGAUCGGAAGGAACAUCUGUGGCGAAGGCGACUAUCUGGGCCAACACUGACACUGAGGCACGAAAGCGUGGGGAGCAAACAGGAUUAGAUACCCCCGUAGUCCCUGUCUCUUAUAA